This 263-nucleotide unclassified non-coding RNA is filed under the name Hevea brasiliensis (rubber tree). The record is from RNAcentral. Lineage: Eukaryota; Viridiplantae; Streptophyta; Magnoliopsida; Malpighiales; Euphorbiaceae.
UGUAUACUUUCAAGCCUUCAUCAACCUCACCAGCUUCACAAUGUGACACAAUUACAUGAUUGUAUGAAACAACGUUCGGAAUAAUAUUAUACUGAUUGAAAAAGUACUGAAACAGUGCCUUAGCAUCAUUAUACCGUCCGGACCGAUACAUAGCACCGAUGAUAGCAUUACAUGUGAAUACAGUCGGCCGUGUGUUUGAGAAGACGGCGUGACGAGCAACAGCAGCUGCAGCGUCCAAAUCACCAGCACGUAUAAGAGAUUGA